UACGUAGGGUGCAAGCGUUGUCCGGAAUUAUUGGGCGUAAAGAGCUCGUAGGCGGUUUGUCGCGUCCGCUGUGAAAACUCGGGGCUUAACUCCGGGCCUGCAGUGGGUACGGGCAGACUAGAGUGCGGUAGGGGAGACUGGAAUUCCUGGUGUAGCGGUGAAAUGCGCAGAUAUCAGGAGGAACACCGGUGGCGAAGGCGGGUCUCUGGGCCGUAACUGACGCUGAGGAGCGAAAGCGUGGGGAGCGAACAGG
RNAcentral lists this ribosomal RNA (253 nucleotides) under uncultured bacterium. RNAcentral's name for it is "partial 16S ribosomal RNA". It matches the Rfam family "Bacterial small subunit ribosomal RNA", at positions 524 to 776 of the family's 1533-position model. The record is from RNAcentral.